AGGAAAUCCUGCCUAAAGGAUUCAUGAGGUAAAAGAAGAACAGAAGGAAGGGAUAGAGUGGAGAUGGUAGUAACCAUGCUAGAAAGAAAAGGGAGUCAUGAAUGGGGAAAAGGUUUUUAGCAUUGACAUAUUUCCCAUACAGAACUACUACUUACAUAGAAUGGAACACCAAGAUUCCCUAAACCACUGAGGCAUGGCUCACCUUGAUUCCAUUCUACAAAUUUUGAGAGAAAGAAAGAGAGAGAAAGAGAGAGAGAGAGAGAGUACAAAUCACCAUAAACAGGAAGACUAUCUUGCUACUGAAGAAC
This is a long non-coding RNA of Vombatus ursinus (common wombat), 308 nucleotides long. RefSeq lists it as uncharacterized. NCBI's taxonomy places the organism in Eukaryota, Metazoa, Chordata, Mammalia, Diprotodontia, Vombatidae. The transcript is spliced from 4 exons. The record is from RefSeq and is a predicted model, not a curated record.